UAUAGAGACUCAGAGCUGCAUAUCAAUAAGCGGAGGAAAAGAAACUAACUAGGAUUCCCUCAGUAACGGCGAGUGAAGCGGGAAGAGCUCAAAUUUGAAAUCUUCAAGGUUCUACCUUGACGAAUUGUAGUUUAAUAGAAGUGUUUUCUGUUAGUAGAGUGGCUAAAAGUUCUUUGGAAUAGGACAUCAUAGAGGGUGAGAAUCCCGUAUUUGAUCAUUCUUUCCUAAGCUUUGUGAUACACUUUCAACGAGUCGGAUUGUUUGGGAAUGCAGUCCAAAAUGGGUGGUAAAUUUCAUCUAAAGCUAAAUAUUGGCGAGAGACCGAUAGCGAACAAGUACCGUGAGGGAAAGAUGAAAAGAACUUUGAAAAGAGAGUUGAAACAGUACGUGAAAUUGUCAAAAGGGAAGCGUUUGACACCAGUGUUGUUUUUCCGAAAAUCAAUUACGAAUGUUUUGUUUUUGAGAAGUUAUGACUUCAUCGUCUUGCUUCUCUUCUUUACGAAACUUUCUUAAUGCACUUUUCGGUUAACAAGUCAACAUCAAUUUCUUUUGUUGUAAAAGGGUAUGAGGAAGGUGGCUUUCUUUUCGGAGAAAGUGUUUAUAGCCUUGUACCUCUGCAAUCGGAGAGAUUGAGGUCUGCAGCGUAGAUCCUUCGGGGUUAGAUACAGUUUGUGCUAAGUUAUAGCUUUUCAUAGACAACUUGUUGACUAUGUUAGUCUUGUAGCUUACUCGCUUAUGCUAUUUUACCUACGCUUAGGAUGUUGAUAGUCACAGCGUGUAC
RNAcentral lists this ribosomal RNA (781 nucleotides) under uncultured Neocallimastigales. Its description in RNAcentral is "partial large subunit ribosomal RNA". It matches the Rfam family "Eukaryotic large subunit ribosomal RNA", at positions 23 to 644 of the family's 3401-position model. Lineage: Eukaryota; Fungi; Neocallimastigomycota; Neocallimastigomycetes; Neocallimastigales. The record is from RNAcentral.